Molecule: ribosomal RNA, 290 nt
Filed under: Salmonella enterica subsp. enterica serovar Agona
Lineage: Bacteria; Pseudomonadati; Pseudomonadota; Gammaproteobacteria; Enterobacterales; Enterobacteriaceae
Description: partial 23S ribosomal RNA
Rfam family: Bacterial large subunit ribosomal RNA
Source: RNAcentral
GUGAACCAGUACCGUGAGGGAAAGGCGAAAAGAACCCCGGCGAGGGGAGUGAAAAAGAACCUGAAACCGUGUACGUACAAGCAGUGGGAGCACAGGUUUACCUGUGUGACUGCGUACCUUUUGUAUAAUGGGUCAGCGACUUAUAUUCUGUAGCAAGGUUAACCGAAUAGGGGAGCCGGAGGGAAACCGAGUCUUAAUUGGGCGUUAAGUUGCAGGGUAUAGACCCGAAACCCGGUGAUCUAGCCAUGGGCAGGUUGAAGGUUGGGUAACACUAACUGGAGGACCGAACC